UUACAUCAAAAGGAGAUGUUUCAAGAAGCUCUGCUGGGUGAUACAGAACGGGAAUGGCUCUCAGCGUGAAGAACUCCCGAAUCUCUUCCCACACACCUCUUCACACAGCUGCAGUAAACUACAGAACGUGGAAUUGUUCAGACGUGGUUUGCAACUCACCACAGAAUGACCCAGGAACUAUAAGACAGAGAGAGAGGAGUGGGUGACACACCUGACAGCAACCUGAUCUGUGUUGGAGAGAGUCAUGCCAAUGCCUCUGAGGGAUGCUGGUUAUGUUGACUGAGACGCUACAGCAUUUGUCCGUGUUAAAACCAGAGAGUGCGCCUUCUAAUCUCACAGAUGCAGCUCCAGAUCUGCUUAUCAUAAAUUACACCCGGAGGAAAAGAAAUGAGGUCAGUUUGAGGUCACUGAUGGAAAUAUGGAGCUCUAGUUCAAGACAAUGUUGGAAAAAAACUGAAUAAUGGUGCAUUUACAUGUGCAUCUCAAUUUAGUUUUCAGAUGUCAUUUAAGAUAUCAACUUAGAAUGAAAGUGGGUUUUUUUCACAGCUCAUGCAUGUGGAUUUAAUGAUUGUGGAGAAAUGUACACUUACACACUCUUACAUUAACAAGAAUACAAAAUAUUAUAAAAGACUUCUUUAUUUCUAAUCAUCAUGAAGCACUUUCAACAAAAUUAUCUGUCUCCCAUUCCAUGUGUGGUACAGGACUAUGAUCUGAAGGCAGUAGCUGGG
Molecule: long non-coding RNA, 728 nt
Organism: Rhinichthys klamathensis goyatoka
Lineage: Eukaryota; Metazoa; Chordata; Actinopteri; Cypriniformes; Leuciscidae
Exons: 3
Source: RefSeq, a predicted model, not a curated record